GCACUUUAUUUGAUUUCUUCGGAAUGAAGAUUUUGUGACUGCCUGGCGGACGGGUGAGUAACGCGUGGGUAACCCGCCUCAUACAGGGGGAUAACAGUUGGAAACGACUGCUAAUACCGCAUAAGCGCACAGGGUCGCAUGACCUGGUGUGAAAAACUCCGGUGGUAUGAGAUGGACCCGCGUCUGAUUAGCCAGUUGGUGGGGUAACGGCCUACCAAAGCGGCGAUCAGUAGCCGACCUGAGAGGGUGACCGGCCACGUUGGGACUGAGACACGGCCCAAACUCCUACGGGAGGCAGCAGUGGGGAAUAUUGCACAAUGGGGGAAACCCUGAUGCAGCGACGCCGCGUGAGCGAAGAAGUAUUUCGGUAUGUAAAGCUCUAUCAGCAGGGAAGAAGAAAUGACGGUACCUGACUAAGAAGCACCGGCUAAAUACGUGCCAGCAGCCGCGGUAAUACGUAUGGUGCAAGCGUUAUCCGGAUUUACUGGGUGUAAAGGGAGCGCAGGCGGUACGGCAAGUCUGAUGUGAAAGCCCGGGGCUCAACCCCGGUACUGCAUUGGAAACUGUCGGACUAGAGUGUCGGAGGGGUAAGUGGAAUUCCUAGUGUAGCGGUGAAAUGCGUAGAUAUUAGGAGGAACACCAGUGGCGAAGGCGGCUUACUGGACGAUUACUGACGCUGGGGCUCGAAAGCGUGGGGAGCAAACAG
This 706-nucleotide ribosomal RNA is filed under the name uncultured bacterium. Its description in RNAcentral is "bacterial SSU rRNA". It matches the Rfam family "Bacterial small subunit ribosomal RNA", at positions 57 to 775 of the family's 1533-position model. The record is from RNAcentral.